This 264-nucleotide unclassified non-coding RNA is filed under the name fungal sp. Its description in RNAcentral is "partial internal transcribed spacer region". The stretch from base 1 to 46 matches the Rfam family "Eukaryotic small subunit ribosomal RNA", at positions 1786 to 1831 of the family's 1831-position model. The record is from RNAcentral. Lineage: Eukaryota; Fungi.
AAGUCGUAACAAGGUCUCCGUUGGUGAACCAGCGGAGGGAUCAUUACAGAGUUAUCUAACUCCCAAACCCAUGUGAACUUACCUUUGUUGCCUCGGCAGUCUGGGCGAGCCUACCCUGUAGCGAGUUACCCUGUAACGAGUUACCCUGUAGCUGCUUACCCUGUAACGACUGCCGGUGGACUACCAAACUCUUGUUAUUUUUAAGUAAUCUGAGCGUCUUAUUUUAAUAAGUCAAAACUUUCAACAACGGAUCUCUUGGUUCUG